UAUUGUUUGUUGGAGACUAGCAUAUCAAUAAGCGGAGGAAAAGAAACCAACAGGGAUUGCCCUAGUAACGGCGAGUGAAGCGGCAACAGCUCAAAUUUGAAAUCUGGCUUCGGCCCGAGUUGUAAUUUGCAGAGGAUGUUUCUGGCGCGGUGCCUUCCGAGUUCCCUGGAACGGGACGCCACAGAGGGUGAGAGCCCCGUAUGGUUGGACACCAAGCCUGUGUGAAACUCCUUCGACGAGUCGAGUAGUUUGGGAAUGCUGCUCAAAAUGGGAGGUAAAUCUCUUCUAAAGCUAAAUACCGGCCAGAGACCGAUAGCGCACAAGUAGAGUGAUCGAAAGAUGAAAAGCACCUUGAAAAGGGGGUUAAACAGUACGUGAAAUUGUUGAAAGGGAAGCACUUGUGACCAGACUUGUGCCGGGCGGUUCAUCCGGGGUUCUCCCCGGUGCACUCCGCCCGGUAUAGGCCAGCAUCGGUUCUCUCUGGGGGAUAAGAACGGUGGGAACGUGGCCCUCCCUCGGGAGGGUGUUAUAGCCCGCCGUACGAUAUCCUGGAGGGGACCGAGGUUCGCGCUCCGCAAGGAUGCUGGCGUAAUGGUCACCAGUGACCCGUCUUGAAACACGGACCAAGGAGUCGUCCAUUAGAGCGAGCGUUUGGGUGUCAAACCCGCACGCGUAAUGAAAGUGAAAUUAGGUGAGAGCUUCGGCGCAUCAUCGACCGAUCCUGAUGUUCUCGGAUGGAUUUGAGUAAGAGUUUUAACGGACGGACCCGAAAGACAGUGAACUAUGCUUGUAUAGGGUGAAGCCAGAGGAAACUCUGGUGGAGGCUCGCAGCGGUUCUGACGUGCAAAUCGAUCGUCAAAUAUGAGCAUGGGGGCGAAAGACUAAUCGAACCGU
RNAcentral lists this ribosomal RNA (894 nucleotides) under Dendrostoma sp. RNAcentral's name for it is "partial large subunit ribosomal RNA". It matches the Rfam family "Eukaryotic large subunit ribosomal RNA", at positions 20 to 943 of the family's 3401-position model. The record is from RNAcentral. Lineage: Eukaryota; Fungi; Ascomycota; Sordariomycetes; Diaporthales; Erythrogloeaceae.